CCAUCUCAUCAGUGUCACAGUGAAGCCUGUUUCUGCUCUUCCCGAGGGACUGCCAUCUUUCUGGCUGUCUCGUGGGGGCUGCAUAACACAGUGCUGUUAAUACGGAGGGCCUUCUGCAAGGGGUUUGGCCUUAGGACAGGUCUAUGAUUUGCAUAGCUUUCACUGUUUCAUUUUCAAGGAGUUUAAGAGUCAAAGAACCAUAAGUUCCUCUAGUCUGGUCUUCCUGUACAUUGUGGGGCAAGGCAAUUGUGUCAGAUUUCAAGGCUGAAUUUGUCUAACAUCAAAUUGCAAAGACUGCUUUGCUGUGCUUUUGUCAACAAUGAUGAAAUGCCCUCCCUUGCCAGGUAUGAUUUCCAAGUGAAAGUACCUGGAAGUGAUCAAGUAUCCUCUCAGACCCUUUCUCCAAAAAACUGGGUUCUGAUUAACUUACUGUAAUGUAUAAAGAGAGAGAAAGACAGAAGCUCAUCAGUGAUGCUCAGUAUGCAAGGGAAAUACAGCACAAGAUGGAUUCAGAGUAUCAGGCAUGCCUAAGACAACAGGAGCAGAA
Long non-coding RNA from Gavialis gangeticus (Gharial), 547 nucleotides. RefSeq lists it as uncharacterized. Lineage: Eukaryota; Metazoa; Chordata; Crocodylia; Gavialidae. The record is from RefSeq and is a predicted model, not a curated record. The transcript has 3 exons.